ACUGGAUGUGUGUCAUAGUCAUGACGUGUGAUCAACAUGACUAGAUAUCACAUUCAGUGG
This 60-nucleotide microRNA precursor is filed under the name Ascaris suum (pig roundworm). Lineage: Eukaryota; Metazoa; Nematoda; Chromadorea; Rhabditida; Ascarididae. The record is from RNAcentral.